AAGUCCUUGGUGAAGCCCUAUAUAAAGUUAAUGGCCGAGCUGAUAAUUGUAGAACACACCCGUCUGCAGAACAGUUCUUGUCUUCACUUUCCAUUUUGACCAGUACUUCAUCAUGAAGGUCUUGGUUGCUCUGACUUUGUUGGGCCUGGUUGCAUGUGCUCUGGCCACUUACGGCAGUUACUAUUAUCCCUCAUCCUACCAGAAUUAUCGGUACCCCUACAGUCGUCACUAUGGAGACUACGGUUAUCCUGUCUCUUAUUCUCUGCCAUACGCAAAGAAAUAUGUCUCCCCAGUUUCCUAUGGUUCCUACCCAAUCAGCUACGGUUCAUAUGGAAGAUAUGGAUACGAUUAUGGCCACCUAGGAGGACAUUACGAACAUCCCCACGACUACUACUACUACAAAAAAUGAAGUUUGAAACGGAUCCUGUCUUCUACCAGUUGAUGAAACUGAAACCAUUUGUUAAACCGAAUUGACGACUAAAUAUACAACUUCAGAACAACAUCGUAUUGGUGCUAAAAAGCGUAAAACGAGAAGCAUGUUCAAAUGCAUUCUUCACUAUUUUUAUUCUUUUUGUUUAUUGAUGCAAUUCUUUUUAAAUGAAUAAACCAUGCUGAUUUAUGUGAAGUGUAUAAUAAAACAUGUUUUUACUAA
Uloborus diversus is the source of this 652-nucleotide long non-coding RNA. RefSeq lists it as uncharacterized. The record is from RefSeq and is a predicted model, not a curated record. NCBI's taxonomy places the organism in Eukaryota, Metazoa, Arthropoda, Arachnida, Araneae, Uloboridae. The transcript is spliced from 3 exons.